Molecule: ribosomal RNA, 229 nt
Filed under: uncultured bacterium
Lineage: Bacteria
Description: partial 16S ribosomal RNA
Rfam family: Bacterial small subunit ribosomal RNA
Source: RNAcentral
UUCGUAGGCGGGAUAUUAAGUCAGUGGUGAAAUCCCACAGCUUAACUGUAGAACUGCCAUUGAUACUGAUAUUCUUGAAUUCACCUGAAGUAGGCGGAACAUGACAUGUAGCGGUGAAAUGCUUAGAUAUGUCAUAGAACACCGAUUGCGAAGGCAGCUUACUAAAGUGAUAUUGACGCUAAGGAACGAAAGCGUGGGGAGCGAACAGGAUUAGAUACCCUGGUAGUCC